AAAAGAUUACAUUACAAUUACACACAUAUUAGACAUUACAGCUGUACCCUUUUGUCGUGACUGUUGUUUAGGCAAACUACUCCUUGUUUUAAAGUGGAAUUUAAAUUGUAGAAUAAGAUCAUGUCUUAAUUAUGUGUGCAUGUGUGUAAACAUUUGUGUUGUAGGAGAAAGCUAAACCGUUCAGUGGAAUGUUCCGGAAACCUAACCAAAGCAAACCAGUAGACGCUACUCAACCGGAGGAGGAUAAAGAGUCACCAAACAGUGAUCUCCUGGCUAGCAACGAGAGCUUAUCAGAGACCAAGGAAAAGGGAGCUUUGUUUGGUGUAAUUCUCAAGAAGACUCCCAAAGCCACCGUAGAUGCCACCGAGGACAAAGAGGUCGACAAGAAACUCCCGGUCAGCCAUCACAAUCUCUCUGAGGGUAACACUGUGAAGGAGAAACACAUCUUUGGCGGUAUCUUUAAGAAGCCCCAGAAGACAACGCAAGAGGAAAGCUCCGAUAACGAGGUAAAGAGGAGGACGCUGUUAUUUGGUUUUAUAAACAAACCUGGAACACUUUAUAAUACCACUCAGUCAAAAGUCAUUUAUAAGCCUUUAGGCCUUUAG
RNAcentral lists this long non-coding RNA (605 nucleotides) under Gadus morhua (Atlantic cod). RNAcentral describes it as "lncRNA (ENSGMOG00000031683.1)". Lineage: Eukaryota; Metazoa; Chordata; Actinopteri; Gadiformes; Gadidae. The record is from RNAcentral.